Molecule: ribosomal RNA, 348 nt
Filed under: Clepsis virescana
Lineage: Eukaryota; Metazoa; Arthropoda; Insecta; Lepidoptera; Tortricidae
Description: eukaryotic LSU rRNA
Rfam family: Eukaryotic large subunit ribosomal RNA
Source: RNAcentral
GACCCGUCUUGAAMCAMGGACCAAGGAGUCUAGCAUGUGUGCGAGUCAUUGAGAUUACAUUUAAACUGAAAGGCGCAACGAAAGUGAAGGCGUGCGCUUGUCGCGCGCUCAGGGAGGAUGGAGUCGAGUUUCACUCGGUUCUCGCACUCCCGAGGCGUCUCGUUUCCAAUCAGUGAAUGCAGGCGCGCUCUGAGCACAGAUGCUGGGACCCGAAAGAUGGUGAACUAUGCCUGGUCAGGUCGAAGUCAGGGGAAACCCUGAUGGAGGACCGUAGCGAUUCUGACGUGCAAAUCGAUCGUCGGAACUGGGUAUAGGGGCGAAAGACUAAUCGAACCAUCUAGUAGCUGG